This 752-nucleotide long non-coding RNA is filed under the name Polistes fuscatus (common paper wasp). RNAcentral describes it as "uncharacterized LOC122514960". The record is from RNAcentral. Lineage: Eukaryota; Metazoa; Arthropoda; Insecta; Hymenoptera; Vespidae.
CGUGUAAUUGUACAUGACAUAAUAAUAACAACAACAACGUUCAAAACAACUUUUCUAUUUAUAUAUAUUUUGAUCUUACAAGGGUGAUUUUGAUACUAUAUUUACAUAUAUAUAACACACCACAAUAUGAAAAUAGUACUGGAAUCUUAAUAACCACAAUGGAAUUUAUUAAUUCUUCUAAUACAUGAAAUUAUUAAGUUCAAUUGUAAUAAUCUUGUUGGAUUAAAAAAAAAAAAAAACAUUAUUGUUACCUUAAUAAGUCAAGUUGUAAUGCCAUUAAAAAUAAUUAUACUCAAUUACGAAGUUGUGUUGUGAAGAAUCAAUUAUUAGCGAAGAGUUUAUCGUUGUGCCAAUUUUAUCGUUGAGACAAUUAAUUAACUGUUCCAUACAGAUAUAUUAAAAUCAAUGGGGAAAAAAUACAACGUGAUUGAAAAAAAUAACACAGUUAUAUAUAAAUAAAGAAAAAUUAAUCUCUCUAAUUUUUAAACGAAAAUCAUUACUCUACGUAUUAAUGGAACGAUGCUGGCCAUUAUCCAAUAUUAAAGAAUAAUUAUAUGUCAUAUUUAACUCAGUGAUAUAUAUUGCAUGAACUCUCUAACGCAAUUAUAUUGGAUUUUAUAACAAAGAAAAAUUAAUUCCUAAAGGCACAUCAAAAAGAGUUACAUAUUUUAUAAUACAGAUAUUAAUCAUGGAACACUAGGUUGUGUAGAAUCCAAUAAUGAAUUUAAUAAAAAAAUUAUUAUUUUAACGAA